UUAAUCAAAAAAGCAUAUGCAACAAUUUUAUUUCCAAAAUAAUUUGCACACAUAUCUUUAUUGAAAUAAAAAUUAUAGUUAUCCUGUGCCAGCACAGAUAUAGAAAUUAAAUUUUUACUGGCUAUAAAUACACAAUAGCCAUCUUUUAAUAAUAAUCUAUAUCCUAACAACAGCCGUAGAAGAUAGGUUCCGAUGACCACAGCAGCAACUCUUACUCCAUU
RNAcentral lists this long non-coding RNA (221 nucleotides) under Elaeis guineensis (African oil palm). RNAcentral describes it as "long non-coding RNA (EGUI_LNC032726)". Lineage: Eukaryota; Viridiplantae; Streptophyta; Magnoliopsida; Arecales; Arecaceae. The record is from RNAcentral.